GUGCUCAUUUUAGCAGUACAUUCAAAGAACAGAGAGAUUAGCAUGGCCCCUGCACAAAAGGAUGACAUGCAAAUUUACGAAGUAUGUCCUAGAGAC
RNAcentral lists this small nuclear RNA (96 nucleotides) under Mus caroli (Ryukyu mouse). The record is from RNAcentral. Lineage: Eukaryota; Metazoa; Chordata; Mammalia; Rodentia; Muridae.